UACGUAAGGCGCAAGCGUUGUCCGGAAUUAUUGGGCGUAAAGAGCUCGUAGGCGGUUUGUCGCGUCUGCUGUGAAAACCUAAGGCUCAACCUUGGGCUUGCAGUGGGUACGGGCAGACUAGAGUGCGGUAGGGGUGACUGGAAUUCCUGGUGUAGCGGUGGAAUGCGCAGAUAUCAGGAGGAACACCGAUGGCGAAGGCAGGUCACUGGGCCGCAACUGACGCUGAGGAGCGAAAGCAUGGGGAGCGAACAGG
RNAcentral lists this ribosomal RNA (253 nucleotides) under uncultured bacterium. RNAcentral's name for it is "partial 16S ribosomal RNA". It matches the Rfam family "Bacterial small subunit ribosomal RNA", at positions 524 to 776 of the family's 1533-position model. The record is from RNAcentral.